Molecule: ribosomal RNA, 257 nt
Filed under: uncultured bacterium
Lineage: Bacteria
Description: partial 16S ribosomal RNA
Rfam family: Bacterial small subunit ribosomal RNA
Source: RNAcentral
UACAGAGGGUGGCAAGCGUUGUUCGGAAUUAUUGGGCGUAAAGGGCGCGUAGGCGGUGCGGUAAGUCUUUUGUGAAAGUCUCCGGGCCUCAACUCGGAGUCUGCAGGAGAAACUGCCGUGCUUGAGUAUGGGAGAGGUGAGUGGAAUUCCUGGUGUAGCGGUGAAAUGCGUAGAUAUCAGGAGGAACACCUGUGGCGAAAGCGGCUCACUGGACCGAUUACUGACGCUGAGGCGCGAAAGCUAGGGGAGCAAACAGG